GACGAACGCUGGCGGCGUGCUUAACACAUGCAAGUCGAGCGGUAAGGCCCUUUCGGGGUACGACGAGCGGCGAACGGGUGAGUAACACGUGGGUGACCUGCCCUCAGCUCUGGGAUAAGCCUGGGAAACCGGGUCUAAUACUGGAUAUGACUCCAUGACGCAUGUUGUGGGGUGGAAAGCCUUGUGCGGCUGAGGAUGGGCCCGCGGCCUAUCAGCUUGUUGGUGGGGUGAUGGCCUACCAAGGCGACGACGGGUAGCCGGCCUGAGAGGGCGACCGGCCACACUGGGACUGAGACACGGCCCAGACUCCUACGGGAGGGCAGCAGUGGGGAAUCUUGCGCAAUGGGCGAAAGCCUGACGCAGCGACGCCGCGUGAGGGAUGACGGCCUGGUGUAACU
This 398-nucleotide ribosomal RNA is filed under the name uncultured bacterium. RNAcentral describes it as "bacterial SSU rRNA". It matches the Rfam family "Bacterial small subunit ribosomal RNA", at positions 28 to 430 of the family's 1533-position model. The record is from RNAcentral.